Non-coding RNA from Vicia faba (fava bean), 213 nucleotides. Lineage: Eukaryota; Viridiplantae; Streptophyta; Magnoliopsida; Fabales; Fabaceae. The record is from the annotation of a GenBank genome assembly.
CAAGAGAGAGAAAAUAAGAGAGAUUCAUUUAUCAUAUCAUAUCCAUUGAUACAAUCCAAAAAUCCGAACCCUUUCUCGUUUGGUCACGACGACCUAGAGAAUAUAUUUUCUUCAUCGAUCCAUUUACAAAACCUAUUCACACUCAACUUCACUCAUCACGAUUCAAUUGUUUUCUUCAUUUUCAAUCUUCCUCACCGUCUUUUCACGAUAAGG